GCCCCCCCCUUCCCGGGGGGGUGGCCAGCGCCCGCCAGAGGACCAUCAAACUCCAGUCAGUAAACGAUGCAGUCUGAAAAACAUUUAAUAAACUAAAACUUUCAACAACGGAUCUCUUGGUUCUGGCAUCGAUGAAGAACGCAGCGAAAUGCGAUAAGUAAUGUGAAUUGCAGAAUUCAGUGAAUCAUCGAAUCUUUGAACGCACAUUGCGCCCUUUGGUAUUCCGAAGGGCAUGCCUGUUCGAGCGUCAUUACAACCCUCAAGCUCUGCUUGGUAUUGGGCACCGUCCUUUGCGGGCGCGCCUCAAAGACCUCGGCGGUGGCGUCUUGCCUCAAGCGUAGUAGAACAUACAUCUCGCUUCGGAGCGCAGGGCGUCGCCCGCCGGACGAACCUUCUGAACUUUUCUCAAGGUGACCUCGGAUCAGGUAC
RNAcentral lists this ribosomal RNA (429 nucleotides) under Botryosphaeria dothidea. Its description in RNAcentral is "eukaryotic LSU rRNA". The stretch from base 97 to 250 matches the Rfam family "5.8S ribosomal RNA". The record is from RNAcentral. Lineage: Eukaryota; Fungi; Ascomycota; Dothideomycetes; Botryosphaeriales; Botryosphaeriaceae.